This 502-nucleotide ribosomal RNA is filed under the name uncultured bacterium. RNAcentral describes it as "partial 16S ribosomal RNA". It matches the Rfam family "Bacterial small subunit ribosomal RNA", at positions 29 to 507 of the family's 1533-position model. The record is from RNAcentral.
AGCGAACGCUGGCGGCGUGCCUAACACAUGCAAGUCGAACGUGAAAGGGAGCAAUCCCAAGUAAAGUGGCGUACGGGUGAGUAACACGUAGGUAAUCUACCCCAGAAUCUGGAAUAACCGGCCGAAAGGCUGGCUAAUACUGGAUAGAGCGACGGAAUCCGUAAUUGGGUUUUUCGGGAAAGGUAGCCGGUAAAAGGGCCUUCGUUCUGGGAUAACCCUGCGUCCCAUCAGCUCGUUGGUGAGGUAAAAGCUUACCAAGGCAAUGACGGGUAGCUGGUCUGAGAGGACGAUCAGCCACACUGGAACUGAAACACGGUCCAGACUCCUACGGGAGGCAGCAGUGGGGAAUCUUGCGCAAUGGACGAAAGUCUGACGCAGCAACGCCGAGUGAGUGAAGAAGGCCUUCGGGUUGUAAAGCUCUGUCGAGUGGGACGAAAAUGCUUGGAGUUCACAGCUCCAGGAACUGACGGUACCACUAAAGGAAGCACCGGCUAACUCCGUG